Lucilia sericata (common green bottle fly) is the source of this 11519-nucleotide long non-coding RNA. RefSeq lists it as uncharacterized. The transcript is spliced from 4 exons. Lineage: Eukaryota; Metazoa; Arthropoda; Insecta; Diptera; Calliphoridae. The record is from RefSeq and is a predicted model, not a curated record.
UUUCUUAAACUUCAGGUACCUGGCAGUAGUUUGGUCAAGAAUACAUUGGGGUGGAAAAUUGUGACUAUAAAAGCGAGGCACAGAAUUCAAACGUUAAACAGUCGUUGGCAAAUCUUUGUACGGUGAACAUCUAUCGCAAGUAGCAGCAGUUCCGAAUUGCAGUGUUGUAAAGUGUUAAUUUGAGAAAUAUACUCUAACCUAAUUGUGAAAUUGAGGUUAUGUGCUAAAAAUAGCUGAAAUUCCCCAGAAAAGUCCGUUGGGACGACCUUUGUCUAUUGUAACCAACACAACCAUGUGAAAGAGUGGUGAUGUGGGAUAAGGAAGUUUUAAUAGACCACAAUGUGUGCGAGUGUGGAAGUGCAGCGCAUUGUAGGUCACUUCUAAAAGGCCAUGCAAAUAGAACAAAGUGGUGAAGAUGCUGAAAUAAAGACACUGGGUCUUUCAGCUAAAAUGUCAACGACUGGUUGUGGAAAACAUGCAAAGAUAUAAUCGUGUUUAUUGGUGAUAACAAAACUUCAUCAUCCAACUCAGGUAGAAACAAUUUCUUGAUGUGAGAAGAUGUUAAACCACUGCUAUUGCAACUGGGUUGCAACACUUAAAACACAAACAAAAGAAAAGCAAGAGUAAAUAAAAUAAGUCAAGCGCUGAGUGAGUUAUAAAAAAAACAACUUUUAAUUUAACAACAAAGCACCCGUUUAGUUACUCCUUAACUAUCAACAACUACAAUACACCACUGCUCCCAAACUUCGUAAGCAAAUUCUACACAUUUUCAAUUUGACAUCGUGGCAGCUGUUUAGAGCUGGAGUUAAUUUUGCUUAUGUACACGUCCUUCACCUUAACACGUUGGCUAACGGAGUUGUGAAAGGGCGCAGUAUCUCGAAUCAUUAAUCAACCAUUCAUCCAUCCAUGCAACUCUUCUACAAUGGAUUUCAUGAGCAAAUUUUUUGGUAUUUAUGAAAUCUACUGUUAUAAAUCUAUGCCUUUUCCCCAAUUUUCAGUACAUAUUAAACUAUUAUGCUGGAUUUCGCUAAAUUUUACUUAAAUACUACGUUGCUGUUCAUUUCUUUACCCUCCCCUUAUCAACUACAUAUUUUUGGAAAUUUGUCGUUUGUUUCUACUUCUACUUCUUGUAUGGUCUUCGUUAAGCAUGGAUAAACUUUUUGGCCAGCAAAUAUCAACAUUCGUAAGCGGUUUUAUCAUAUCUUUAUCAAAUAACUAUAUAAUUUUAGGAAAGAGUCUACACUAAGUCCAUGUUCAAUUAGUAAAACUAGAGAGUUCUUGCAAAAAAGACCGGAAUAUAAACUUUUGGACACAUAUAUCAUUUGUAAUAAACCCUUUAAUGCAACUACAGCAAUUGUUGCUUUGUGAGGACGACCGGACUACGUUUCGAUUGAUAUUGAGGAGCAGCUUGCUUACAACUACAGCCAUUGUUGUUUAAAGCAGCCGGAAGAAACAGGUUUUUUAUAAUUAUAAAACAACAAAAUUUUGAUUUUUAGCAUUAUGACUCAGUUGAUCGGUGCCUGAGCAUAAUUUAAGUGAGAUAUAUAACAACAACAAAACCAUUUAAACCAUACGAAGAAGACCUUUCCAAUGCGACCAUUGAGAUUAUGCGUGACUCUAAAAAGUGUAAGACAACUUGCAAUUGUUUUUAGCACUAAUACGAUUUUUACAGACAACGAAACCUUUACGAAAUUAUGGAGCAAACUUCUCUUGAUGAUUUUCCUUAUAAAAAGCAGGUCCUUAAACCUAUUAUCACUUUAACAUGGCGCUUAACUCAGUUGUUGAUUUGGUCCCUGAGCAGCUGUGUUUGGCUUGAUCUUAAAAAAAGUGUAAGAAAACAAUGAAAUUGUUUUUACAACUAAUCAAAUUUUUACAGACUACGAUUUUGAAACUCUCACGGCCUAUAUAAAAAAAGGUUUCUUUGAAAACUCUUGACAUCUUAUACUAUUGGUUUGGUAAAGCGUUUUGGAUUAUAAAGUUUCUUCAAGGCAGGUUAACUUUUAAAGGCGAAACUAUGUUUGAUUUUUAGCAUUAUGCGACUCAGUUGAACCGUUCCUGGGCAUAAUUGGAACACUUUUUUUUUAAUGGCGGCAUUCUUAACAGGCAAUUGUAACAUUUUUACCAAAAACCCAAAAAUUUAAUUUGACUUUUAGGAUUAUGCGACUCAGUUGAUCCGUGCCUGAGCCAUAAUAUGUAAUAGAUGUUUACGAAUGGGAUAAUCCGUUAACUUAAAGCGCACGCAAACAGGCAGGUGUUAAAAUUUUUAACAAAUUACACACAAUUGUUUGAUUUUUAGCAUUAUGGACUCGGUUGUUCAGAACCUGGGCCUCGAUUUUGUUUGUCUAUUGGUUUCACUUACGCUACAAUGGCAGGAAUUUACAAUAUUGGCCGCUAAACAUCAUUUAUACAGCAAAGGCAGGUGCUAAAUUUUAUAAAUCACAAACGAAAUUUUUGAUUUUUUAGCAUUAUGGAAACAUGAACCGUGCCUCCUGGGCCUUAAUUAUUUGGUACUUUUAACGUUUAGCUAUACAAGUUUGAUGUUAACGCUUAAAAUGUCUUAGUAGCCGAUAAACCCUGGUUUACAAAUUAACAGGCAGGUGUUACAUUUUACAAAUCACAAAACGAAAUUCUUGAUUUUUAGCAUUAUGCGACUCAGUUGAUCCGUACCUGAGCCAUAAUUUUGGUUGUUAUUUGAUGCGACAUUGAAUAAUCACAAGUACCACAUUGGAUGCAAAACUCGAUUCACGAAUUAACAGGCAGGUGUAAUGAUUUAUAAAUCAUAAAACGAAAUUUUUGAUUUUUAGCAUUAUGGAAACAUUGAACCGUGCCUACUGGGCCUUAAUUAUAUACUUCAUUCUUUGGGCCUUCUAAAUGUUUAGGACCACCGACUUAAUAGCCGAUAUAACCCUGGUUUACAAGUUAACAGGCAGGUGUUACAUUUUACAAAUCACAAAACGAAAUUCUUGAUUUUUAGCAUUAUGCGACUCAGUUGAUCCGUGCCUGAGCCAUAAUUUUGGUUGUUUUAUAUGGAUGUGCGACACUUUUAAAUAGUACCACAAUGGACGCCGCAACAUCUGAUACACGAAAUAACAGGCAGGUGUUACAUUUUAUAAAUCACAAAACGAUAUUCUUGAUUUUUAGCAUUAUGCGACUCAGUUGAUCCGUACCUGAGCCAUAAUAUUGUUAGUUGUGUUUAUGCAUCGCUAAAAGCCUUGGAAGGUUUUCUUUAAGCAACGGUUUUUAACCUAUGGAACCCCACCUAAUUACUUUCUACUCCAACAAGCGUAAGAAACAAUGAAAUUGUUUUUUUCAACUAAUAUAAUUUUUACAGACGAACUCCACAAUUGUGUAACUACGGCGGCGCAACCGCUUAAAAAGUUCUUUCGAAACACUCUUCAAUAUACCCCCAGACUCCUUUAGUGAUUUGUCCUGUUUUAGCAACAACAUUUGUUUCUUCACAAAAUCCAGGCGUUUUAUACAAGAAGUUCUUUGACACAUCUUGUAUCUUCAAACUUUAAAGUGUAAGAAAACAAUGAAAUUGUUUUUACAACUAAUACAAUUCUUACAGCAACAGUUAAGGGUUACUAAGAUAAACAACCAUCCUCCCUAGAAAUAUGAUGAUGACUUGAAACUUUUUAAACUACACAGUCAAAGCAAUGAAGGCGUGUUUUCCUCUUUAACAAAACUUAUUCUAAUAUAUUUUAGCUUUAUAACUCAGUUGAGGCGGUAGCUGAGUUUAUAAUUUAAACACCAAGUGGUAGUAAUCUUUAUAGAUUUUAACCCAAAGGAUUUGACACACAGACACACACACACAGGUGCUUACUGCUUUUAAACCUGAACUCAAUGCCAAAUUUUUAACAUCGUUUUAGCUCUAUGCAUAGAAGAAAUGCUUAUUUAUUUGCUGUAAACAAAUGUAAGGAAUUUGUAUAUCAACAAUUUUGUCUCAAUUUAAAUGUUAUUUGAACAGCGGCAACAGCUAAACUAAAUGCUAAACUUAACGACCCCCGCUGGUCGCCUUAAUAAUUUAUGAUUAUUUUGUGAAUUUUUAGACAAAUAUAUAGAAGAGAAAUAUAACUCUAAAACCCACCCCUUUAAUCACUUCUGGCAACUAUUUGGAUAACUGAAAAUACAAUAAUAUUUGGCGUAAGAAAACAUGCUUUUGUUUUUCUAAUUACAUAAUUGUAUUUUCCAGGCUCUAUAAAAAUCAUUUGAAAUCUUAAAUCGAAAUAGAAUUACUCAAGCUGAACUUGUAACAAUAAAAUAACUGAUGUGUUUGACAGUUUGUUCUCUCAAGAACGUAAGAUUAAAGUUUGAAAUUUUCUUUUAAACUAAUACGCUUUUUGCAGAAAUAUGUUUUGCUGGUUUUGCUUUAAAGAUGAAGGAAAUUUUGCUGAUUUUUUGUCUCCUUAUCCUUUAACAAAUGCUGUAUUGAAACAAGAAAAGAAACAACACCCUACGCUAUCUUAUUUGUUUGUUCGUUAUUUUGUUUACUUUCUACUUUAUUUCUUGUGUCUUUUUGCCAGUUUUAUUUUGUAUAUGAAUUUCUAGCUCAGAAACUACUACAAAAGCUUCAAAUGGAGAGAUAAAGAACAAAAGUCUUUUAAGACAGAAUAGAAAAUAUAAAGUAAUUUCAGCGCUAGCUGGCAGGCUGACUGGCUAAUUAUUAACUAAGAAUGAAAUUCAUCACAUAUACACACUAUAUAUAAAUAAAAAAUAUUAAAAAACCAGUACGCUAAGGGAAUCGCUUUUAUGAUAUUUUAACAAUAUCGUAACCCGUGGUGAUGAAUUUAUUAAAAAAAACAGAAACGAGCAUAAAAGAUGUUAAAAAAAAAACAAAAGCUAGAAGAAAAAAAAAACGCAGCGUAAGUUUUUCUUAAGGCCAGAGUUUAAGCAUCAAAAGUAAGACUACUACUAUUACUCUUAUAUUAAUCUAAACUUAAUAUUUGUAUUGCCAACCUCUUGAAUUACUAUAAUUUUUACAGAUCAAGAGAGAGUCCCCAAAUGUUUUUAUAAAAAUUUCAUAAAAACAUACUUUAUAUCACGCUAACAAGCUGAUAUAAAGAGACUUGGCGUAAUCAAUCACAAGCACUCUAAAAAUAUAGCUAAGGGAAUCGCUAAUAUUUUACUGUGACAAUAAACUACUCUGCAGCAGCAAGUAUACUAAUUAAUAUGUGUGUCUGAUAAGUAAUUAAUAUGCUGAAAGUUUUAAAAAAGCAAAUCCCAUACUGGCUGUGGGUUUUAAAGUUUGUUAACAUAUUUAUUGUUGUACAAUUAAAUUAAAUUAAUUUAACUUUACAGAACAAGAAAUUUGAAAAAAACAAAACAGAAAAAAACCUAGCACUAUAACUACUAGCAACAACCAACACCACCACCACCACCAACAACAACCCCACCCCAUUCUCAAAAAAGAAGCUUAAUAAUGCUAAGGGAAUCGCAAAUGUUAUUAAAUGAUUAUAAUCAUGAUGAAGAUGAUGUUGUGUUGAAAACUGGUGGCUCUAAUUGUAUGUUAACACUUACUACUAUUCCAAACUCUUAAUUAACAACAAAUCAAACUAGAACAAACAAAUCUUAAAGACAAGCGUAAGUGUGUUUUAGUAGUAAACUGCUUAAAUUAAAUUUAAGUUUAUUUAUAAUAUACAAGCUAAUGAAAUAAUUGCUAAGGGAAUCGCAACAAAUUAUUUAAUCAUAAGCAUUUAAAGUCAAAGUGUCUGAUACGUAACGGUCAAUACUUUGGUGCAAACAAAUUGAACUUGAACAAAACACUUUAGCUAAGAAAUAAGCAAAGUAAAAGUAUUAUAAUAUAAAAUAAAACUUGGAUUACAAGUUCAAAACACUAGCUCUCCAUCCAUGACAUGGUAAUGAGUAGCCCAACAAAAAUGCAAAAUUUGUAACAUCUCACACUAAAGCUGCUUAAUACCAGGCAUUAGUUUUUGAAACAGAAUACUUAAUUUAAAAGUAAAGUGAAGCUAAAAUGUAUAUAAAUUAUUAUAUAAACAAAUUGUUUUUGUAAUUGUAAAGCUUUUUCUGUAGAACAAUUUAUAAACUUGGACAAAACUCUUAAGAUUUAGAAUUAAAUCAAAGCAUUAACAAAAAAACCCUCAAAGUUCUAGUGACUCUUAAAGAAAGAUCAUAUUUGCAUGUCCAAUAAAUGAUCGAUCGUAUUUCGAAAUGUAAAUCCUUUAAACAAAAUAAAGGUUAUUCGAUGAUAAAAAGAGCACAACUUUUGAAACUCUGAUCAUUACACACACACAAAUGAAUGAUUGUUAUAAAAUGCUUGUUUUAAAGUUUAAAUUAUUGUUAAAAGUUUUGUCUUAAAACUAUAAGUAGUUUAUAUAUAAAUGCAUGCUAUUUAUUAUUAAAGUAUUAAGUAUAUAUAAGUCUACAAAAGUUAUAACAAACAACAAAACAAAUUUGAAAAUAAAAACACAAAUACCAGCUCACUUGAAGAAUAUUAUAAGAAAAAAAAGAAGAAAAUAAUGUCGUAGCUUUAGAUGGAUAAAGAUGUACAAAUUUUAGCUUACAAACAUGCGACUCGGAAAAGAGUCUGCCUAAACAAAAAUGCCUAAUGGAGAGGUUCACUAUAUUUUUGAGAAAAGAAUUAAGUGAGCAAAACUUUCCACAUGGUCAAUAAACAAAGCGGCUACGAGCCAGCAAAAUCAAAUGCCUAAUGGAGGAGUUACACUAUAUUUUUGUAAAAAGAAUUAAGUGAGCAAAACUUUCCAGAUGGUCUAACAAAAGCAGCACAGAAUGUGCUUAAUACAAAAACAAAACAAAAAGAUUUUUUAAGUUCCUUUUUUAGACACAAGAGUUAUAAAACCAUAAUGAAACCUUAAGCCAGAAAUGAAAGAAGAGCGAGUGAGAGAGAUCUUAACUAGAAGAGCACGUUCCUAGUACCUGGCACUAUAAACACCAGUCAGCUUUAACUAUUCCAACGUUUUUUUUUCUUUUUGUGUGUUUUCUUUCUUGUUUUCUUGCUUCUUAACAACUUUUUUGUAGGAUCAUGUCUCAGUUGAUCGGUGCCUGGACAUGAUUUUGUGAUAAAUGACGAAAAGCGCUUUAAACAUUUACAGAGACAAAGAGAGAGAGAGAGACACAACUUUAAUUUUGGGGGUGACAACUAUUGUCAGAACUUUUCUUUUCUUCUUUCUUUCUUUUUUUGUUUGUUUUUUGUUCUACGUUUUCUUUCUUUUUUUUAUAUAUAUACAACUUUUUUUAGCUUUAUGUCACAGUUGAUCGGUGCCUGUGCAUAAUAAAAGUUCACAAAUGAUGUAAAAGCGAGUGAGAGAGUGAGAGACAAUAUAUAUGACUUGGGUGUUAGUUGAGAGCGGCGUUCUUUGCUAAAAGAGCGCCAUACUGGACUUGGACUUUUUUUUUUUGUGUUUCUGUUUUCUUCUCGAUUUUCUUUCUUUUUCUUCAUUAUUCAACUAUGUUUUUAGCAUUAUGCAACAGUUGAUCGGUGCCUGUGCAUAAUUAUGUGUUGAGAGUGAAAGACAAUAUAUAAAAUGGGUUAAUUUGGGCCAAGCUACGAGCGUACUUUGUAACAUAGAGAGAGGGGACUAUGCCUGAAGACGACUUGUUUUCCUUUUUCUUCUCGAUUUUCUUUUUCUUUUUUUAUUAUUAUUAUUAAAAUUUGUUUUAGCAUUAUGAUACAGUUGAUCGGUGCCUGUACAUAAUAUGCAUUUCUUGAACUCUCCUCUAAAAGAGUGGUAUUGUGUUGUGCUGAGAAAGAGACUGAAGAUAGACGAACAAGAAGAAGAAAAAGAGUGGCUUAACCAGAAGACACACAGACUCUGUUGGUUUCUGUUUUUGUUCUCUUUUUUGUGUUUUUUUAUUUUUCUAUUUCUUUAAAGACCCACAGAAUAGUUAUUUUUCUUAGCCUGCAUACACAGUUGAACGGUGCCUGUGUAUGAACUUAAAAAAAGAAGAGAGAGGGACAAUCUCAUAAACAGAUUGCCUGAAAUACCCAAGAUCUUAACUGACAAACACAACUAAUGAUUGUGCAGAAGAUUUCUACCCUACUAAAACCUUAGCUAGAGAGCAGCGACUACAGCCAUUGUCGUUUUAAAUAAUAGCCUUUCUACAACAACAACUACAACGUUGCUUAAAAUAAUUAAAAGAUAAACAACAGGUUAUAUAUUUACAUUUCAAUUCCUCUUCGCUAAUUACUACCAUUUACAGGCAUUUCUUUUUAUCCUACAAAGCACAAAAUAUAUUGAAUUUUUUCAUUUUCCUAAUCACUACUUCAACACCCAACCACCCACCACCACGUACACUAAGUAUCGGUAUGCAACCAUCUAUCUACAAAUAUCGUUAAAGGGAAUCUAUACGAUACAACAACUCAGCAGGGCUUCAUAAAAAUUAAAAAAAUAUAUAUAUCAAACGCAAAACCAUUAAAUGUUUCUAAAAGGGAAUCCAGAAACACGGCGCCCACUCUAUUUUCUUUCUCUAAAACUUUUUUUCAAACCAGCUAUUUUUCUCUUAAUUAUAUGUUUUAUAAUAAUUUCUAACAAAACAAAAGAAAAGUUAAGAAAUUUUUUUUUUUAAUUUUUACAAUUUAGCAAAAGAAAAAAUAAGAAUGUUAAGAUUUUAUAUAUUAUAUUAUAAUUUUAACUAGAAAAACUUGUAAAAAACUGAAAAAAGAAAAAAACCAAAUCAAAUCAAAUCCCCUCAAAUGUUUUGUAUCAAAAAAUUUAAACAAAUUAUAAACAAAUUUGUGCAAAAUUUCCUACAGUUUAUAAUAUGCCUAUAGUUUUUAAAUGAAACGUAUUAACUUUGUUAUACUUUUACCUUAAAAAAAAUUUCAAUAAUUUUGUCAUUAGUAUGCUUUUUUUGUUAUAAAAUACUCUUACCAACUUCAAACAAAACAAAAUCUUACAAUAAUCCUAUAAUAUUUUUGACAAUUGUCUUACUAGAUUUAUAGCUAGUUUAAAGAAAACUUUGUUAAAUUAAUUUUAUUUAAUUAAUGAUAUGUAAAAGUAUUUUCAUUUUCUUGUUUAAAAUUUCUUUGUAAAAUAAUUUUUUUUUUGUAAUUUUUUAAAAACUAUUUGUUGUAAUUUUUAAAAUUUUUUUUUAUUAAAUUACCUUAAAUUUUGUAAAACAACUGCUGUGGGGAGUAAAACUCAACCGAUCCUAUAUAAAAAAAACAUAUACAAACAUUUGAGUGAUUGAGAAGCGGAUAUCUGAACACACGAAAGAGCCAAGAGGGAGAGCCAACUGCCUUUUAGUUAAAUACACACACAGGGUUUUGCGAUUAAGAGCCAAGAAGAAGGGAAUAUAUAAGCCAGGAGUUUAGUGUUUUCCGUUUUAAGCUAUUGAGAGCGAGGAGAGUAAAAGAGGGAGAAGAGAGAGAGAGUUUACUUUUUUUAUUAAAACAUUUUCAAACUUCGUAUAUGAGAGUUCUAGAGGAGACAGCAAUUAAUCCAAAUACAAAAAAGAAGCUGUUAACCAAGCGGCAGCCUAAAUUAGUAACUGAAAUCCUUUGAUACCAAACACCAAGUGGUUUCUCUGUCAUCAACAUCCGGUGUCACUUUUAGUGGCCUAAACAGCAAAUGCAUCUCAGGCAAACUUUUAAUAUUGAAAAUGUUUUACAUUUUCCUACAAAAGCAAUACAACUUCGUUGAAGAUCUAACAAUCUUUCAACAAACUCAAUUUCCACAACAAGUGCAAAUCUCAAUCAACAUCAAACAUUAAACAACAGUUCUUCUUCAAACAACCAACUGAAGAAGAAUGAAUAUCAGCUAAUGAUGCCUCCAAAAUAAAAACAAAGUCUUUCAAAACUGCAGCAAACAUUCUCAAGACUUUGGGUCUUCUACUACCACAUAACUGCAAAAUAGACUUUGGUCUUGUGAAAUCUAAAAUGCGUUUGGUCACAUACAACUUCAAAUCCCUUAAAAAUCUAUAAGAAAAGGCGCGCGGAACAACCUUUAAAUCCUUAACGACACAAAUUCCUUAACAUCUGAGUUGUUGUACGGAAAUCUUCACUUUAGAGAGAGAGAGAGAGCGAACGUUAUAUACAUAUAACAUAGAGGGCUGUUAACACACUUCAAGUCUUUAACAAUCUGUUUUUUUGCCAAACAAAUUUAAUCAUCAAUCAUCACCAACACCAUAAUUAUAACAACUUUUGCUAAAGAAACCAAAAAAUCAAAAACUUCUAUAUCUAAACCAAACUUUUAACAAACGCUGAGUUCUUGUAAACACCUUGAGUCAAAACAUCAUUAUAUCAUCAACAUCGUUCGGUCCCAAAAGAGAACAUUUGAACUAAUGAAGAGGAAAGCUUGCUUUAUAUGAUCUAUUACAAAGCGAUUGUCAUCUUGAUUACUAAAUGAAUAUUGUUGUGGGACGACUUAUGGACUCUAGAUUUACUACUAAAAUAUCGAAACACCUUGAUCUUUCAAAUAUCAAAAAACCUAAGGCUCAAAAUAUCCCCAGAAAGAGAGACUUUAACUUCCAAUGACAUUUCAACUUCAAAGAAAACCAAAAAACACACAAAUCCACAACAUCGUCCAACGUAAGAGGGACGACUUCGCUUUGAAAUUAGAGAUACUGUUAUAAAAGAAAACAAACUAUCAAACACCUUCAUCUUGAUUGCUUUUACGUUCAAUCCUUGAGCUCUGUAUUAUAUAUCGAAUCACAAACCAUGAGUUUUUGUGGCAAGACGUCCACCACUCACUUUAGAUGCUAUAUAGGACCACUAUAAUCCUUUCCUCUUCUAUACGAAUGCUACAACUACUAUCACUACUAGAUCCAUCACCUUUUGCUUGUAAAUCUUUAUAAUCCUGUGGGACCAUGAAGUUAUAAUUCUCCACUACAAAUGUUUUGUUGCUCGGCUUUCGAAUGUCGUGUGUCCAUCAGCCCUCCUAUAGUUUUGAAUAGCAACUGUUGAAAAUUCUACUGGGAAGAAUAUCUAUUCGUCUGCAGCGUUUACAACAAAUUUAUAACCACCUACAACAAACAACCAACCAAUCAAACAACCUCAACAUCAGCAGCGGUAACAUCCUUUAAAUAUUUCCAAGUAUUGACGGCAGCGUGGGACUUCCAAGUAUUGACGGCGGCGAGGGACUUCCAAGUCUUGACGGCAGCGAGGGACUUCCAAGUCUUGACGGCAGCGUGGGACUUCCAAGCUUUGACGGCGGCGAGGGUCUUCUAGGAACUGGCGGACAGCGGGGAUCAUCCAAGUUUUGACGGCAGCGAGGGUCUUCUAGGUGCUGACGGCGGCGUGGGACUUCCAUCACUGAAGGCAGCAGCGAGGGACAUCAACUUGUUGAGGUGGCGAGGGUUUUUCCAGGUGCUGACAGCGGCGAGGGACUUCUUCGAAGUGUUGACGGCGGCGAGGGACAUCUUAGGGUCAUCGGGGCAUGGCGCAGCGGUAUCCAGGGUCGGCGUAGCGGUUCAAUUCCUAGGGUCUUCGUUGUUUGGCAGGUUUCCGGUUAAGCUUUGUAGGGGUUUUUUCAAGUUUAGACUGCGGCGUGGGACUCCAAGUAUUGACUGCGGCGAGGGAUACCAAGUUUAGACUGCGGCGA